UUAGUAUUUCCUCCGUUCAACAAAAAAUGUCUCAAGUUUGUCAAAAAAUUGUAUGCAUCUAUACACUAAGUCAUGUCUAGAUACAUUCAAAUUUUGACAAACUUGAGACAUCUUUUGUUGAACGGAGGAAAUACUAA
Molecule: non-coding RNA, 137 nt
Organism: Brachypodium distachyon (stiff brome)
Lineage: Eukaryota; Viridiplantae; Streptophyta; Magnoliopsida; Poales; Poaceae
Source: Rfam